GAGGUGUUACCAGAUCUACUGAGAGAAGGACGCAGUAAUUCACACUGAAAGACAGUAGACCUGUACUAUCUCAAAAAUCGGCAUAACAAGAAGAGUUUUAUUUAUUAUUUUUAAAUGAAAGUCUACCUUGUCACUGCUUUAAAAAAAUAUUGACAAAUUUAAAGUUGAUUUUUAUAUUGGGAGUUCUGGUUUAAGAUGGUGUCAGAAUUGGGAUCCAAAGUAGAGCUUCUAAUGAUCCCCAUGAGCACUGAGUGACCAUCCGAGGUACCUGCCAGUCUUACUGUGUCCUUUGGUCUCUUGGAGCAGCUGGGGACUAUGAGUCUCCGGAUUCCGGGAUCUAAAUGGGUAGUCAUGAUGAGGUAUGAAGACAUUUUCUAUACCAUUUUCUACGCCUAUACCAGCCAGAAUCAAGUCCAACAUGGCUGCUUCCUCCUCUGCUUUUCCUGUUUGCCUCCUGGCUAUUUUGGGAUGGGUUGGAUUCUCCAGAUAUAGUCUUCAUGGCUCUGUUCUCUGUCCUUAUGGAUUCAGAAAGGCCUUGAAUUUCAUAAUCCUCUUGGGUCCCCUGUGGCUACCUAAGACCUAGAAUGCCUAGGGGAAGACAUUAGAAAGGCUACCUGUGUCAAUUUCAAAAUUAUUUUCAGUAAUUUAAAAUUUUAGAGUCAUGUUAUGUAAAAUUAAGUAAUAGAUAAUUAUAAAA
RNAcentral lists this long non-coding RNA (697 nucleotides) under Homo sapiens (human). RNAcentral's name for it is "novel transcript". The record is from RNAcentral. Lineage: Eukaryota; Metazoa; Chordata; Mammalia; Primates; Hominidae.